Molecule: non-coding RNA, 135 nt
Organism: Triticum aestivum (bread wheat)
Lineage: Eukaryota; Viridiplantae; Streptophyta; Magnoliopsida; Poales; Poaceae
Source: Rfam
GUAGUAUUCCCUACAUCCCAAAAUUCUUGUCCUACAUUUGUUUAGAUACGGAUGUAUCUAACACUAAAAUGUAACUAGAUACAUCCGUAUUUAGACAAAUUUAAGACAAGAAUUUUGGGACGGAGGGAGUACAAA